AUGGCCGUCUCGCCUCUUGCACUCGUGCUCCUCCUCCUCGCCUUCGCCGUGUCUCUCUUGUACAUCCUCCGUAGGCCCGCCCCUCUGCGCAGCGGCAGCGAUGGAGGACGGAGGCAUCUUCCGCCGUCACCGCGCGGCCUCCCGCUGCUCGGCCACCUACAUCUCCUCGGCUCGUUGCCGCACCGGGCCCUGCGGUCCCUGGCCGCCGCACACGGCCCGGUCCUGCUGCUCCGGCUCGGCCGCGUGCCCGCCGUGGUCGUGUCCUCGCCGGCCGCCGCGGAGGAGGUGAUGAGGGCCCGCGACCUGGCCUUCGCGAGCCGGCCCCGGAGCGCCAUGGCCGACCGGCUCCUCUACGGGCGCGACGUAGCGUUCGCGCCCUACGGCGAGUACUGGCGCCAGGCGCGCCGCGUGUGCGUGGUCCACCUCCUCAGCCCGCUCCGCAUCCUCUCCUUCCGCGGCGUCCGGGAGGAGGAGGCCGCCGCGCUGGUCGAGCGCGUCCGCGGAGCGGCGGCGGGCGGCGCCGCUGUGGACCUGUGUGAGCUCCUCGUCGCCUACGCCAACACGGUGGUCUCGCGCGCCGCGUUCGGGGACGACAGCGCGCGCGGCCUGUAUGAGGAAGGCAACAAGGAACGCGAGCUGAGGAAGGUGUUCAACGACUUCCAGGAGCUGCUCGGCACGGCGCCUCUGGGGGAGCUCCUGCCGUGGCUGGGGUGGUUGGACGCCGUGAGGGGGAUGGAGGGGAAGAUCAGACGGACGUUCAAGGCGCUCGACGGUGUGCUCGAGAAGGUGAUCGGCGACCACCGCCGCCGGCGUCAAGCCGGCCAGCAGACGGGAGAUGACGGCGGCGAUCACAGGGAUUUCGUGGACGUGUUGUUGGACGUGAGCGAUACUGAUGACGAAGCUGGCAUGCGUCUCAGCACGACCGAAAUCAAGGCCAUCAUUUUGGACAUGUUCGCGGCGGGCACGGACACGACGAGCACGGCAAUGGAGUGGGCCAUGGCGGAGGUCAUCACGCACCCAGACAGCAUGCGUAAGCUCCAGGACGAGCUCAGGGCGGCCGUCGGUGGCUCCGGGCACGUCAUCACCGAGGACCACAUCGACAAGCUGCACUACCUCAAGGCGGUGGUCAAGGAGACGCUACGCCUGCACCCACCGAUCCCGCUCCUCGUGCCCCGAGAGCCACAAGACGACGCCGAGAUACUCGGCCACCACGUCCCGGCGGGCACGCGGGUGGUCAUCAACGCGUGGGCCGUCGGCCGGGACCCGGCGGCGUGGGAGCGCGCCGAGGAGUUCGUACCGGAGAGGUUUCUCGACGGCGCGGUGGACUACAAGGGGCAGGACUUCCAGCUGAUACCGUUCGGUGCUGGGCGGCGGGGGUGCCCCGGGGUCGGAUUCGCCGCGGCGACCGUUGAGAUGGCGCUGGCGAGUUUGAUGUACCAUUUCGACUGGGAGCCGGCCGGGGCGUCGCUGGACAUGCGCGAGGUGAACGGGCUCGCCGUGCAUCUCAAGUCCGGCCUGCCGCUUGUCGCUAAACUGCGGUUUCGUUAG
Molecule: ribosomal RNA, 1548 nt
Filed under: Triticum aestivum (bread wheat)
Lineage: Eukaryota; Viridiplantae; Streptophyta; Magnoliopsida; Poales; Poaceae
Description: partial small subunit ribosomal RNA
Source: RNAcentral